Molecule: ribosomal RNA, 253 nt
Filed under: uncultured bacterium
Lineage: Bacteria
Description: partial 16S ribosomal RNA
Rfam family: Bacterial small subunit ribosomal RNA
Source: RNAcentral
UACGAAGGGGGCUAGCGUUGUUCGGAAUCACUGGGCGUAAAGGGCGCGUAGGCGGCUUUAUAAGUCGGGGGUGAAAGCCUGUGGCUCAACCACAGAAUUGCCUUCGAUACUGUAGAGCUUGAGACCGGAAGAGGUUAGUGGAACUGCGAGUGUAGAGGUGAAAUUCGUAGAUAUUCGCAAGAACACCAGUGGCGAAGGCGGCUGACUGGUUCGGUUCUGACGCUAAGGCGCGAAAGCGUGGGUAGCGAACAGG